GAUGAACGCUGGCGGCGUGCCUAAUACAUGCAAGUCGAGCGAACAGACGAGGAUCUUGCUCCUCUUACGUUAGCGGCGGACGGGUGAGUAACACGUGGAUAACCUACCUAUAAGACUGGGAUAACUUCGGGAAACCGGAGCUAAUACCGGAUAAUAUAUUGAACCGCAUGGUUCAAUAGUGAAAGACGGUUUUGCUGUCACUUAUAGAUGGAUCCGCGCCGCAUUAGCUAGUUGGUAAGGUAACGGCUUACCAAGGCAACGAUGCGUAGCCGACCUGAGAGGGUGAUCGGCCACACUGGAACUGAGACACGGUCCAGACUCCUACGGGAGGCAGCAGUAGGGAAUCUUCCGCAAUGGGCGAAAGCUUGACGGAGCAACGCCGCGUGAGUGAUGAAGGUCUUCGGAUCGUAAAACUCUGUUAUUAGGGAAGAACAAAUGUGUAAGUAACUAUGCACGUCUUGACGGUACCUAAUCAGAAAGCCACGGCUAACUACGUG
This 497-nucleotide ribosomal RNA is filed under the name uncultured bacterium. Its description in RNAcentral is "partial 16S ribosomal RNA". It matches the Rfam family "Bacterial small subunit ribosomal RNA", at positions 28 to 507 of the family's 1533-position model. The record is from RNAcentral.